CGCGGGGUGGAGCAGUCUGGUAGCUCGUCGGGCUCAUAACCCGAAGGUCGGCGGUUCAAAUCCGUCCCCCGCAACCA
RNAcentral lists this transfer RNA (77 nucleotides) under Niallia circulans. Its description in RNAcentral is "Bacillus circulans tRNA-Met(cat)". It matches the Rfam family "tRNA". Rfam says of the family: Transfer RNA (tRNA) molecules are approximately 80 nucleotides in length. Their secondary structure includes four short double-helical elements and three loops (D, anti-codon, and T loops). RNAcentral also lists the same sequence under 16 other names. Lineage: Bacteria; Bacillati; Bacillota; Bacilli; Caryophanales; Bacillaceae. The record is from RNAcentral.